This 268-nucleotide long non-coding RNA is filed under the name Elaeis guineensis (African oil palm). Its description in RNAcentral is "long non-coding RNA (EGUI_LNC077414)". The record is from RNAcentral. Lineage: Eukaryota; Viridiplantae; Streptophyta; Magnoliopsida; Arecales; Arecaceae.
UCCGCUACAGAAGUUCGAUCAGAGUCUGGUUCCCGUAGAAGUCCGGAUGGGGAUCAUUUGUAGAGGAAGCUCGACCGAAGCCUGCCUGCAAUAGAAGUUCGGAGGAAAUUCGUUCACAAUAGAAGCUCGGGUGGAGGCUUACAGUAGAAAUCUGUCGUGGACCGCCCGUAGUAGAAAUUCGAAGUAGACCGCUUGUUGUGGUAGCUCGGAGUAGACCGCUUGUGGUGUGGGCUCGGAGUCUGACCCUUGUCAGAAUUCGGAUGAGGCC